Molecule: small RNA, 480 nt
Filed under: Pan troglodytes (chimpanzee)
Lineage: Eukaryota; Metazoa; Chordata; Mammalia; Primates; Hominidae
Description: processed transcript
Source: RNAcentral
CGGGAGCAUGAGGAGUACCUGAAACUGAAGGAGGCCUUUGUGGUGGAGGAGGAAGGCGUAGGAGAGACCAUGACUGAGGAACAGUCCCAGAGCUUCCUGACAGAGUUCAUCAACUACAUCAAGCAGUCCAAGGUUGUGCUCUUGGAAGACCUGGCUUCCCAGGUGGGCCUACGCACUCAGGUGUGAUUGACGACCGGGGCAAGUUCAUCUACAUAACCCCAGAGGAACUGGCCGCCGUGGCCAACUUCAUCCGACAGCGGGGCCGGGUGUCCAUCGCCGAGCUUGCCCAAGCCAGCAACUCCCUCAUCGCCUGGGGCCGGGAGCCCCCUGCCCAAGCCCCAGCCUGACCCCAGUCCUUCCCUCUUGGACUCAGAGUUGGUGUGGCCUACCUGGCUAUACAUCUUCAUCCCUCCCCACCAUCCUGGGGAAGUGAUGGUGUGGCCAGGCAGUUAUAGAUUAAAGGCCUGUGAGUACUGCUGA